AAAACAUGUCUUUUUGAGUUUAAUUUAAAGUCUAGUCUGCCCACUGAUUUAAAAUAAUUAAAGGGCUGCAGUAUUUUGACUGUACAAAGGUAGCAUAAUCAUUAGUCUCUUAAUUGGUGACUUGUAUGAAGGAUUUGAUGAAAUAUAAACUGUCUCUUAUUAAUUUAUAAAAUUUAAUUUUUUAGUAAAAAAGCUAAAAUAAUUUUAAAAGACGAGAAGACCCUAUAGAGUUUUAUAAUAAAUUUAAUUAUAUUUUUUAUAUAAAUAUUUUAUUUUUAAUAAAAUUUAUUAUUUUAUUGGGGUGAUAGAAAAAUUUAAUAAACUUUUUUUAAAAAUAAAACAUAAAUAAGUGAAUGUAUGAUCCGUUAUUAACGAUUAUAAGAAUAAAUUACCUUAGGGAUAACAGCGUAAUUUUUUUUUUUAGUUCAAAUAAAAAAAAAAGUUUGCGACCUCGAUGUUGGAUUAAGAUAAAAUUUAAAUGCAAAAGUUUAAAAUUUUGAUCUGUUCGAUCAUUAAAAUCUUACAUGAUCUGA
This 533-nucleotide ribosomal RNA is filed under the name Graphium antiphates (fivebar swordtail). RNAcentral describes it as "partial 16S ribosomal RNA". The stretch from base 399 to 533 matches the Rfam family "Bacterial large subunit ribosomal RNA", at positions 2473 to 2608 of the family's 2925-position model. Lineage: Eukaryota; Metazoa; Arthropoda; Insecta; Lepidoptera; Papilionidae. The record is from RNAcentral.